Molecule: long non-coding RNA, 901 nt
Organism: Seriola aureovittata
Lineage: Eukaryota; Metazoa; Chordata; Actinopteri; Carangiformes; Carangidae
Exons: 3
Source: RefSeq, a predicted model, not a curated record
CUUAGUUAAGUUAUACUGUUCAUUUGUUGAUGAUUAUAAUGUUAUGGCUGUUUGACCAGUGUUAAAAGAUGUACUCCUGUUGCAUUUGUGGAACAUCUGUUCAGUCAGUAAAUGCAUAUGUUGUGCUGUCCAGCAGGCUGAGCCAGAUAUAUCCAGUGGUCCUGAAGUCCUGAAGUUGAGUGGUCCUCAGCUGAAUCCUUGACAUUAUUACUGUUCUAGGACAUUGAGCUUGGCCCAUUUAAAAGCUACCAAGUUCACCUCAGCAUUGUCCUGGUGUUGGUAAAUCCAUGAGCCUUCGCGUGGAUCUGUUUCUGUAUUCUGUCGGCACAUUUCUGGUCAAUUGCUGCAACUCAGUCCAUCCAACCUGGCGAAACCCUUGAUGUCCACAUACAGUAACAUUUGCUGCGCCCUUGCUGCUCCCUUGCAUCAACAGCUACAGGACAGGACAGGAGGAGGCAGCACCUUGGAAACAUCUUGACUAAUAGAGGACACUUUUAUGGCAGUGGACUUUUCGAAACCUUGGACUUCUAUCUCCCUAUGGACUGUAGUAAUAAGCCCGGGUAUACCUGGGUUAUACAACUCACAUUGUAUAACUCACAUUGUAUAACCCAAACCGCCUGUUCAACAUCAGUAAUCUUAACCAUCAAGAUGAUCUGUAAGUAUCAUACUGAGCACUCAUGUAUUUUUAUAAAAAAUCCACUACAUCCAACUUUUGCCUUGUAUGUAUUUUUCGGUGAUGUUUUUAGUAGUGUAAGAUAGGUCUUUGGGUUUUUACCAAACAGGCUAAGAUACUGUUAGUAAAAUACUUUUUUAACAUGAAAGGUAUGUUAAAUAUACAAGAAAUCUAUAUAAAAUGACAUGUAAAAACAAAAAAUUAACAGUAAAUUGUUAAAAUUUUAAA